AACGAACGCUGGCGGCAUGCCUAACAUAUGCGAGUCGAACGAGACCUUCGGGUCUAGUGGCGCACGGGUGCGUAACGCGUGGGAACCUGCCCUUAGGUUCGGAAUAACUCCCCGAAAGGGGUGCUAAUACCGGAUAAUGUCUUCGGACCAAAGAUUUAUCGCCUUUGGAUGGGCCCGCGUUGGAUUAGCUAGUUGGUAAGGUAAAAGCCUACCAAGGCGACGAUCCAUAGCUGGUCUGAGAGGAUGAUCAGCCACACUGGGACUGAGACACGGCCCAGACUCCUACGGGAGGCAGCAGUGGGGAAUAUUGGACAAUGGGCGAAAGCCUGAUCCAGCAAUGCCGCGUGAGUGAUGAAGGCCUUAGGGUUGUAAAGCUCUUUUACCCGGGAUGAUAAUGACAGUACCGGGAGAAUAAGCGCCGGCUAACUCCGUG
RNAcentral lists this ribosomal RNA (433 nucleotides) under uncultured bacterium. RNAcentral describes it as "partial 16S ribosomal RNA". It matches the Rfam family "Bacterial small subunit ribosomal RNA", at positions 29 to 507 of the family's 1533-position model. The record is from RNAcentral.